CCCUUGUAUUAAAGGAUUAUAUUAAAUUAGUAUAUAAUGAAAUUUAAUAAUUUUUGGCGGUUAAUUGUUAAUUAGAGGAGCUUGUACUUUAUUAGAAUUAGCUCUUUAUAUUUAAAUAGUAAAUAAUUUAUUCAUCUCCGUUAUAAAAUGUAUUAUUUAAUAAUAUGGAGAUUUAUUGUAUUUCAGGUCAAGAUGUAGUAUUUAUUAGAGGGUAUUAGCUACAAUUAUGAAAUUUAUGGUUUAUAAAGGUAAAGAAUUUUUGAUGAUAAAUUGAAUUUAAUUGUAAUAAUAAUUAAAAUAUUAAUAUGAAUGGAGAUGAUUAAUGUACAUAUUGCCCGUCACUUCUAUAUAAGGG
Molecule: ribosomal RNA, 355 nt
Filed under: Mischonyx intermedius
Lineage: Eukaryota; Metazoa; Arthropoda; Arachnida; Opiliones; Gonyleptidae
Also listed under: 1 other name
Description: partial small subunit ribosomal RNA
Source: RNAcentral